GGGCCCAUAGCUCAGUGGACAGAGCGGCCGGCUCAUAACCGGUUGGUCCUUGGUUCGAAUCCAAGUGGGCCCA
RNAcentral lists this transfer RNA (73 nucleotides) under Chloroflexota bacterium. RNAcentral's name for it is "tRNA-Ile". It matches the Rfam family "tRNA". Rfam says of the family: Transfer RNA (tRNA) molecules are approximately 80 nucleotides in length. Their secondary structure includes four short double-helical elements and three loops (D, anti-codon, and T loops). Further hydrogen bonds mediate the characteristic L-shaped molecular structure. tRNAs have two regions of fundamental functional importance: the anti-codon, which is responsible for specific mRNA codon recognition, and the 3' end, to which the tRNAs corresponding amino acid is attached (by aminoacyl-tRNA synthetases). tRNAs cope with the degeneracy of the genetic code in two manners: having more than one tRNA (with a specific anti-codon) for a particular amino acid; and 'wobble' base-pairing, i.e. permitting non-standard base-pairing at the 3rd anti-codon position. Lineage: Bacteria; Bacillati; Chloroflexota. The record is from RNAcentral. RNAcentral also lists the same sequence under 1 other name.